This 153-nucleotide unclassified non-coding RNA is filed under the name soil metagenome. RNAcentral describes it as "partial internal transcribed spacer 1". The record is from RNAcentral.
ACACAAUAAUAUCCAAAACCUUUUGGAUCAACCCAACCUUAGUGAACUGUUUUUUACCUUAACUUUAAUCUUUUAAACUAAACUCAAUCUGAUUUGUAUAAUGUCUGAUCUUUUUUCUCGAAUAACUUUGAGGAAAAUAAUUCUAACGUAAUA